CCCCGCCUCUUCCGGUAACGGCGCGGAGACCUCGCGCUCUCGUUUUGCUGCCGGUAUGGCUGCCCCGGGGCCGGCCCGGCUCCUCCGGGCCGCUGCUGCUUCUUCCCGCCGCUGGCUUUUUUCCGCCUCGCCGGCAGCCGGGACGAGGCCGGGCUGCGGCAGCGCCGCCGCUGCCGUGAGGGCGGCCCGGUUGUUCAGCGUCUCUGCCCGGGCGGCGCUCAGCUCAGAAGAUAAAAUAACUGUUCAUUUCAUAAAUCGUGAUGGUGACAAACUAACGGCCAAAGGAAAACCUGGGGAUUCACUGCUGGAUGUUGUUGUUAACAAUAACCUAGACAUAGAUGGUUUUGGUGCAUGUGAAGGAACGCUAGCCUGUUCAACUUGUCAUUUAAUCUUUGAAGACCACAUAUUUGAGAAACUAGAUGCAAUUACUGAUGAAGAAAUGGACAUGCUGGACCUGGCAUAUGGCCUCACAGAAACAACCACGGGAGGGUUGAGGUUGAAAGGGACCUCUUGAGGUCAUCUGGUCCAACCCCCUGCUCAAGCAGGGCCACGUAGAGCCGAUGCCCAGGACCAUGUCCAGACGGCUUUUGAAUAUCUCCAAGGAUGGAGACUCCACAGCCUCUCUGAUCACGGUUAGGCUGCCAAAUCUGCUUGAAGAAAUUGAUGGAUAAUAUGACUGUUCGAGUACCAGAAGCUGUUGCUGAUGCUAGACAAUCAAUAGAUAUGAGUAAAAACUCCUAAAAGAAAAUAUUUUGGGGGUUUUAAAGAGGCUUAAUUAUUUUUAUAACUUAUUUUUAAAUGUGUAAUUGAAUACAGAAACUUCCAUAAUUGUGAGUUAUUUUAUAUGACUAUCAAUAUUAGAUUAAUGCUAUUUUAAUUUUCUUUAUAGAACCUCCUAUAUUUUUACGCUUAAAAUGCAAUAAUACUUCUUAUAACUGAUCAUUUGAUUGUAAAUGUUAGCAAGUGUAUUACAGAUUUCAUGUAAUGCUGUUCUGCCAAAACCUUUAAUGAUGUUUGAAAACUGGAUCACUUCUACAAGACUUCGAAAAACUCAUCUGCAUUUCUAGGUUUCAGACCUGGAUAUCUAAGAGAACAAAAUCUGUAGGACUGCAUGGGGUCUUGUAAAAGCGCUGUCAUUAAAGGUGGAAUGCUCAGAGCUAAUUCACAUUCUCAUUAUGGUACUUGCUCAGCAAACAGUGGAUUUCCAGGGUAGGGAUUUUCCAGACUUUGGAAUCUUCAUGAGAUGUGGCAAAUUUUGUCUUGCAAAAAAUACUGUUAAAACUAUGAAAUCUGGGGACAGAUACAGAAUGUUGGCACCUGCAGCUUAAUUGCUGCAGUGCACCUCUGUUGCCCGAAUAGAAAUCAAUAAACCUCAUUUAUGUUUAAUUACACCACAAAUAUGGCAUGCACGUGGCUUAGAGUAAAGCUGGAAGCUGUCUAAUGGGAGAGCGGAACCACUGGAGGUAAAUGUGAAUUCUUGCUGUUCUCUGAAGACGACCAAGUUGGGAUUGAAGAGGGCACUGUUUGUCAACGUAAAAUUUGUUCUGGAAUAGUUAUCCCUUUUUCAAUUUUGAGCCUGUUCAGGAGGCAGCCUGGUGUUAGGUGGGCAUUCAGCUUCAGGAGUUCCCUAGACUCUGGGCCUUGCUCUCGGGAUGAUGUCAGUAAAGGUUGAUGUGUAAUGACCAAGUAUUUAUUCCAUGAAGACAGGCUAUGAUCCCCAAAAGCAGGGAAACCUCCAUGGUGGGAUGGUGUGUGGUCUGAUGAUGAAGAGCUUUUGGUUUGAUCUUGUGUUAGUCUUCUAAAGUAGACCAAAAUAAAAUAACAUCUCUAAUACUCUUUAUUAUUUUCUCCAGUUUUUGUUGCCUAAAUACUUAAAUGAAAUGGUUGUCACUAAUACAAUAGCUAUUACGCUUAUAAGGUUAUUCUAAUAUUUUGUGGUGUAUUUUAUAUGUAUAUAUAUAUAUAUACACAGAUAUAUAUAACAUGUUUAUUUGUUUACAUUUGAAUGGUCUAAUGCACUCAUUAAUGCCUUAUUUGAACUGGUGACAAUGACAUCUAGACAUCUUUUCUUGCAUUACUAUACAUACGGGAGAGGUGAAGAAAAUAUUAUUUUUCCCAUGUCAAAUAUUUAGAUGAUUUUGAAAUUCAUAAAGAGAAAAAAAUGUCCCUCUUUGUUAUAAAAAGAAAUAUCUUCUAGAACUGUAUUGCAAAUAGGUCUAGUUCAGAUGCUUUAAUUUCUUCUCUGAGUAGCUAUUACUUUUUCCUGGUGUUCCCUUUGGCCUUUCCCCUAAAACAAGAUAUGCUUAAUGUGUCUGCUCAGAACUUAAAUCAUAUAGGGUGUUCAAAACACACUUCCUGUCUCAUCUAAUUCAAAAUAUGACUUCGGCGUUGAAAUUAUGUGGCUUUUUGAAAGAUGGAGGGAGCGAGGUCAGGGAGAGGGCAGAAAUAAAUUGGAGAAAUGUUCUGAAGAUACUGCUGUCUUCCUCUUCAGCAGCUGUGACUCUAACCAUAAUUUCCAGGUUACCUCACACAAUCAGGCACUAAGGUAAAUCAGUUCUCACUUUGUGUUGCCUUUGUCCUGAGUUCAGUUAUAUGCAAUGAUUAUUAGUAAGUCCUGAACUUGUAUUUUUUAUGUGGGACACAGCUCUUUAGCUUCCAAGAGGGGGAACUUGAAUCAUAACCACAUGUACUGUGUGUUCUUACAUAGGAAAGAAAUCCAAGGUUUCAAUAUAAUGCUGGCAUUUGGGGGUAAGUGUUGGUGUUCGGGUUUUGGUGUUUUCGUGUUUGUUUUUUGUUUGUGGUUUGUGGUUUUGUUUGUGGGGUUUUUUUGUUUGUGUGUUUGUUUUACUUAUAGCACCAGACACUUCUCCUUGUGGGAAUCCUGAAGGGCUUUAACACUACCUUAAACAAAUGAGAAACAGCUCUCGCAACUGUUCUCUUUCUAAGCCAAGGUUCUUUCAUUGUGCAUCUCCAGUGGCAGCUUCUUGUUGCAAAGACUUUGACUCUCCCAUAGUGUGCCUGUGGCAGGAAUUACUUAGCACAGCAAGGCAAAAAAAGGGCACUCCAAAGUUUGUGUUGAAUUGUAGAUGUAUUCCAUACUGCAUGCAAAUGGAAAUGUCAGAAGGUGAAUCCCCAAAAUGCACAUCUCAGAGAAACUUGUUUUCUUAUUGCCAAAAUGAUUUGCAAAUAAAUCUUAUUUUAUACCACUUUCUGA
Molecule: RNA transcript, 3214 nt
Organism: Columba livia (rock pigeon)
Lineage: Eukaryota; Metazoa; Chordata; Aves; Columbiformes; Columbidae
Gene: FDX1
Gene name: ferredoxin 1
Exons: 5
Source: RefSeq, a predicted model, not a curated record